Molecule: ribosomal RNA, 253 nt
Filed under: uncultured bacterium
Lineage: Bacteria
Description: partial 16S ribosomal RNA
Rfam family: Bacterial small subunit ribosomal RNA
Source: RNAcentral
UACGUAGGGUGCAAGCGUUAAUCGGAAUUACUGGGCGUAAAGGGCUCGUAGGUGGCCAACUAAGUCAGACGUGAAAGCCCACGGCUCAACCGUGGAAGUGCAUCCGAAACUGCAUGGCUUGAGUCUCGGAGAGGAAGGUGGAAUGCUUGGUGUAGAGGUGAAAUUCGUAGAUAUCAAGCAGAACACCUGCGGCGAAGGCGGCCUUCUGGACGAUGACUGACGCUGAGACGCGAAAGCGUGGGGAGCAAACAGG